Molecule: transfer RNA, 121 nt
Filed under: bacterium
Lineage: Bacteria
Also listed under: 1 other name
Description: tRNA-His
Rfam family: tRNA
About the family: Transfer RNA (tRNA) molecules are approximately 80 nucleotides in length. Their secondary structure includes four short double-helical elements and three loops (D, anti-codon, and T loops). Further hydrogen bonds mediate the characteristic L-shaped molecular structure. tRNAs have two regions of fundamental functional importance: the anti-codon, which is responsible for specific mRNA codon recognition, and the 3' end, to which the tRNAs corresponding amino acid is attached (by aminoacyl-tRNA synthetases). tRNAs cope with the degeneracy of the genetic code in two manners: having more than one tRNA (with a specific anti-codon) for a particular amino acid; and 'wobble' base-pairing, i.e. permitting non-standard base-pairing at the 3rd anti-codon position.
Source: RNAcentral
GUGGGUGUAGCUCAAUGGUAGAGCACAUGACUGUGGCUCAUGUGGUUGCGGGUUCAAAUNNUGGUAGAGCACAUGACUGUGGCUCAUGUGGUUGCGGGUUCGAAUCCCGUCAUCCACCCCA